RNAcentral lists this long non-coding RNA (2421 nucleotides) under Macaca fascicularis (crab-eating macaque). RNAcentral's name for it is "lncRNA (ENSMFAG00000052018.1)". The record is from RNAcentral. Lineage: Eukaryota; Metazoa; Chordata; Mammalia; Primates; Cercopithecidae.
UUUUGAAAGUGUAAAAAAAAAGGUCUUAGAACAGCCCAAGAUGGCCGACUUUGAUGACUGUGUGUCUGAUGAGAAGGUAGGCAUAGCUGCUAAAUUCAUCACUCAUGCACCCCCAGAAGAAUUUAGUGAAGUAUUCAAUGAUAUUCAGCUACUACUUAAUAAUGACAGUCUCCUCAGGGGAGGGGUAGCACAUGCAUUUGCCUAGUAUAACAUGGAUCAAUUCAAGCCUGUGAAGAUAGAAGGAUAUGAAGAUCAGGUCUUAAUUACCGAGCACAGUAACCUGGGUAAUAGCAGAUUUUUAGAUCAAGAAACAAAAUUUCCUUUAAAUUUGAUCACUUAUGGAAAGAAGCAGUGACCCCAUCCAGAAGAAUUAGAUGGAGGUCUGAAAUCUUGGAGAGAAUCCUGUGAUGGUGUUUUAAGAGCCUAUGUGAAAGACCAUUAUUCCAACGGUUUCUGUAUUGUCUAUGCUAAAACUAUUAAUGGACAACAGACUAUUACUGCACAUAUUGAAAGCCACUAGUUUCAGCCUAAAAACUUUUGGAAUGGUUGUUGGAGAUCAGAGUGGAAGUUCACCAUCACACCACCUACAACCCAGGUGGUUGGAGUGCUUAAGAUUCAGAAUGAAGCCCAAACUGCAAAGGAGUUUAUUAAAAUCAUAGAGAAUGCAGAAAAUGAGUAUCAGACAGCAAUUGGCGAAAACUAUCAAACAGUGUCAGAUACCAUGCUCAAGGCCUUGUGCUUGCAGCUUCCAGUUACCUGCACCAAAAUCGACUGGAACAAGAUAGUCAGCUACAAGAUUGGCCAAGAAAUGCAGAAUGCUUAAAGGCUGAAUGUAGGAUUCUUCAGUAUGUGGAAAGACAAAGAUUCAAUGUGUAGUCAUAUGAUAAAUAAGUGAUUUAUAAACAAGAGUGAUAUUUUGCUAGGGCUUUCAAAGUUAACUGGUUUUCUGGCCUCAUGGAAUACUGUUGAACCUAUAGCACUGUCUUGAUUCUUUUGUGUUCUCUGCCUUGUAGUUUUCUGUUAUUGCUAUAUCUAUAUGUAAACCUUUUUUUUUAUUAUUGUUAAUUCUGCCACAUUUAAUGUUGGUGAGAGAGAAAUCUAUCCUAAUGACAUUUUACUGUUUAAAACAGUUUCCUAGCCAUGAAGCCCUGUACUGAUUUAGACAAGGUAUUACGGUCAUUACUUUCUACCUCUAUCCUUCCAACCACUUCUGGUACUUCACUGGUUUUUACUGAUCCAUCAACACCUAAAGAGGCUAUGCUACAAUCUAUAGCUAAAUGGACACAUUCAUCCUUCUCCUUCUGACUGCUUUGAUCAUCAUUUAUUGCAUCUUAUAACUGUAAUUUUCCAAAGUUUGGAUUGGAACUUUUCAGGUCCUUUUUGGAGGGCAAAGGAAGUGUCAGCUUCUCUGCAGAACUUGUUUUUAAAUCCAAACACUUGAACCACAUUCCCUGCACAUGAACAUGUUUGCUUUUAUCCCUUCUCACAUUGUCUCCUUCCCAUCUUAGUACCAUUGUAGUUAUAGACGUCUGCAUUUUUAGAAGCAUUUUACCCAUUUUUUUAAACAUUCAGGAACUGCUGACAUACUGUGGAUAUAGAGUAUAAAACUUGAAAAAUGCAGAUGUUGAAGGAAUACUAGGUAUCUUGUGCUUUAAUACUUUAUGGCAGGAUUGUACUAUAAGCAAAUGAAUUAAACAUCUAUGUAAGUCAUAAAAACUUAAAAUGAACCAAAGUGAAAAGGAUAACUUCUAGGCAGUGUCUUUCUGUUGUAACCUGUUAUUUAAGGAAAUACUAGUGUUUUCCUCUAAACAGGAUGUAAAACUUAUUUCAAAUCACUCUUUCUCGGUUCUGCCUGCCAAGAAAUCAAGUGUAACUGUGAUAAAAUAACAUUUCUCAGGUAUAUUGGCAGGUAUGUGUGUAAUCUCAGAAUACACAGGUGACAUAGAUAUGAUAUGACAACUGGUAAUAGUGGAUUAAUUUACAUUGUUUAUACGUCUGCAACCAGGCCUUAAGGGAAGAUCAGAUUUUUAAAAAACCAAGUAGUGUCUUCCUACCUAUCUCCAGAUACAUGUCAAAAAUAAAAGGUGUUUGUGCUUACAUUUUGUUUCUGCUCAGUAAUAUAGUCAAGCAAAAGUUUAUUUCCAAACAGUUUGUUACUCAUUGAGCUGUGUAUGCAUUUUUGUUUAUUUCAAAUGAAAUGUAUUUGUAUUGUCAUUCACACUAUCCAUCCAUACCACACUAUCUUCUGUAUCAGGUAGUCUAAUAGAAAUAUACCUGUUUUGUUCUAAAAAAAAGUCUUAUGAAUCUAUAAGAUGUACUUCCAUCACCAUUCCUAAUAUGUCUAUGUAUCUAGGAGCUGUGUACAUAAUGUUUCACUAUUAAAAAUAUACAAAACUCUAAUUAAUUGGCUUAAGAAAAAUA